GAUGAACGCUGGCGGCGUGCCUAAUACAUGCAGGUCGAGCGAACGGACGAGAAGCUUGCUUCUCUGAUGUUAGCGGCGGACGGGUGAGUGACACGUGGAUAACCUACCUAUAAGACUGGGAUAACUUCGGGAAACCGGAGCUAAUACCGGAUGAUAUUUUGAACCGCAUGGUUCAAAAGUGAAAGACGGUCUUGCUGUCACUUAUAGAUGGAUCCGCGCUGCAUUAGCUAGUUGGUAAGGUAACGGCUUACCAAGGCAACGAUGCAUAGCCGACCUGAGAGGGUGAUCGGCCACACUGGAACUGAGACACGGUCCAGACUCCUACGGGAGGCAGCAGUAGGGAAUCUUCCGCAAUGGGCGAAAGCCUGACGGAGCAACGCCGCGUGAGUGAUGAAGGUCUUCGGAUCGUAAAACUCUGUUAUUAGGGAAGAACAUAUGUGUAAGUAACUGUGCACAUCUUGACGGUACCUAAUCAGAAAGCCACGGCUAACUACGUG
This 497-nucleotide ribosomal RNA is filed under the name uncultured bacterium. RNAcentral describes it as "partial 16S ribosomal RNA". It matches the Rfam family "Bacterial small subunit ribosomal RNA", at positions 28 to 507 of the family's 1533-position model. The record is from RNAcentral.